This 208-nucleotide ribosomal RNA is filed under the name Shewanella xiamenensis. RNAcentral's name for it is "partial 23S ribosomal RNA". It matches the Rfam family "Bacterial large subunit ribosomal RNA", at positions 2723 to 2925 of the family's 2925-position model. The record is from RNAcentral. Lineage: Bacteria; Pseudomonadati; Pseudomonadota; Gammaproteobacteria; Alteromonadales; Shewanellaceae.
GUCAUGCCAAUGGCAUUGCCCGGUAGCUAUGUUCGGAAUCGAUAACCGCUGAAAGCAUCUAAGCGGGAAGCGAGCCCCAAGAUGAGUCAUCCCUUGGACUAUAAGUCCACUAAAGAGCCGUUCGAGACUAGGACGUUGAUAGGUCAGGUGUGUAAGCGUUGUGAGGCGUUGAGCUAACUGAUACUAAUGACUCGAGAGGCUUAACCAU